RNAcentral lists this ribosomal RNA (253 nucleotides) under uncultured bacterium. RNAcentral's name for it is "partial 16S ribosomal RNA". It matches the Rfam family "Bacterial small subunit ribosomal RNA", at positions 524 to 776 of the family's 1533-position model. The record is from RNAcentral.
GACGAAGGGGGCUAGCGUUGUUCGGAAUCACUGGGCGUAAAGCGAGUGUAGGUGGUUGUCAUAGUCAGGCGUGAAAGCCUUGAGCUCAACUCAAGAAAUGCGCUUGAUACUGGGCAGCUAGAGGACCGGAGAGGAUAGUGGAAUUCCCAGUGUAGUGGUGAAAUACGUAGAGAUUGGGAAGAACACCAGUGGCGAAGGCGGCUAUCUGGACGGUUUCUGACACUAAGACUCGAAAGCGUGGGGAGCAAACAGG